Molecule: ribosomal RNA, 407 nt
Filed under: uncultured bacterium
Lineage: Bacteria
Description: partial 16S ribosomal RNA
Rfam family: Bacterial small subunit ribosomal RNA
Source: RNAcentral
GAUGAACGCUAGCGAUAGGCUUAACACAUGCAAGUCGAGGGACCGGCGCACGGGUGCGUAACGCGUAUGCAACUUGCCUCACAGAGGGGGAUAACCCGUCGAAAGACGGACUAAUACCGCGUACUGUGAGAUAGGCAUGCGUCCCAUUAGCUAGUUGGUGAGGUAACGGCUAACCAAGGCAACGAUGGGUAGGGGAACUGAGAGGUUGAACCCCCGCACUGGUACUGAGACACGGACCAGACUCGUACGGGAGGCAGGAGGGAGGAAUAUUGGGCAAUGGGCGAGAGCCUGAACCAGCCAAGUCGCGGUAAGGAUGACUGGCUAUGGAAUGAAAACUUCUUGUGUAGGGGAAUAUGUACCCUACGAAUAAGCAUCGGCUAACUCCGUGCCAGCAGCCGCGGUAAUUC